RNAcentral lists this ribosomal RNA (508 nucleotides) under uncultured bacterium. Its description in RNAcentral is "bacterial SSU rRNA". It matches the Rfam family "Bacterial small subunit ribosomal RNA", at positions 28 to 538 of the family's 1533-position model. The record is from RNAcentral.
GAUGAACGCUGGCGGCGUGCCUCAAACAUGCAAGUCGAGCGGGGCUAUGUAAUAUCGCAAGGUAGAACAUAGCCUAGCGGCGAACGGGUGAGUAACACGUGGGUAACCUGCCUGGAAGACAGGGAUAACGAUUCGAAAGGGUCGCUAAUACCUGAUAAUAUCCUUUCAUCGCAUGGUGAUAGGAAGAAAGGGGAAACCCGCUUUCAGAUGGGCCCGCGUCCCAUCAGCUAGUUGGUAAGGUAAAGGCUUACCAAGGCGACGACGGGUAGCCGGUCUGAGAGGAUGUACGGCCACACUGGGACUGAGAUACGGCCCAGACUCCUACGGGAGGCAGCAGUUGGGAAUCUUAGGCAAUGGACGAAAGUCUGACCUAGCGACGCCGCGUGAGGGAAGAAGGCCUUCGGGUUGUAAACCUCUGUCAUGGGGGAAGAAGUAAGUGACGGUACCCAAGAGGAACGCCCCUGCUAACUACGUAGCCAGGCACGCCGGCGGUAACGUAGUACUCUAU